This 1771-nucleotide long non-coding RNA is filed under the name Macaca fascicularis (crab-eating macaque). RNAcentral's name for it is "lncRNA (ENSMFAG00000054974.1)". The record is from RNAcentral. Lineage: Eukaryota; Metazoa; Chordata; Mammalia; Primates; Cercopithecidae.
UUUUUUUUUUUUUUUUUUGAGACGGAGUCUCACUCUGUCGCCCAGGCUGGAGUGCAGUGGCACAAUCUCGGCUCACUGCAAGCUCCGCCUCAUGGGUUCACGCCAUUCUCCUGCCUCAACCUCCCGAGUAGCUGGGACGACAAGCGCUCACCACCACGCCCAGCUAAUUUUUUUGUAUUUUUAGUAGAGAUGGGGUUUCACCGUGUUAGCCAGGAUGGUCUCGAUCUCCUGACCUCAAGAUCCGCCCGCCUUGGCCUCCCAAAGUGCCGGGAUUACAGGCGUGAGCCACUGCACCCGGCCACACCACCGGGUUUUGUAUGAUCCCUGAGCAAUCAAUGGUUUUACAUUUUUAAGUGGUUGAAAAAGAUCAAGAGAAGAAGAAUAUUUCAUGACACAUGAAAAUUGUAUGAAAUUCAAAUUUCAGUGUGCAUAAAUAAAAUUUCAUUAGAAUACAGCAACACCCAGUCAUUUCUGUAUUAUCUAUGGCUGCUCCGUGCUACAAGCACAGAGGUGAGUAGUUGUGAUGGAGACUAUAUAGCCCCUGCAAUAUUUCCCAUCUGACUCUUUACAGAUUCUAAUAAGGAGCUUGUCUAAGAGACUGUGUGGUGACAAGGAGAGGACAGGCCAAUCUCAGGGGACUGUUUCUCUUGGGGCUCUCUGCUGCAUGCUUCAGAAGAUUCUGUUUUACCUCUGGCUGCAGAGGCACUGCCAGCCUCCUGGAGCCCAGAGACAGCUUGAGGGAGCUGUCCGCCUCCUAAGUGUUUUAGGGAAGGAGCCCCAGAGGGAAGCCCCCCCAGGGAGAACCCCCCAUCCCCGAGCCACUUGCCCUGUGGCAGCUCCUCUGACCUCCCUUUUUCCUGGGCUUAGUUUUCUCCAGAAGGUAGGGAGGGUGGCAUGGUUAAGGUGGCUGGACUUCCGGACACCAGCUCUCCAAGACAGAGGCAACCCACCCCAAGUGGGAGCCCUGGGCACCCUCUCUCCUCCCAGAGGCUGUUGCACAUCUGCACUGCAGGCCCUAUGUAGGCGGGCAGUCUGCGAGAGCCCUGGUAGAUUAUUCUUAGGAAAAGCAGGAGAGCCAGCCGCUUCAGGGAGGUGGAAACUCUGCUCCUAAUGACAGGCCUCUCUCUCUAGGGAGCUUAUAAUCACCGUGGGAGGCUCCCCCUUCGUGUGGCAGAGACACCAGGGCUGAUGGAGCCAACGACAUUGAAGAAGGCUGCUGUGUGGCCUUGGGGGUGGCGUAUGUGUGCAUAUUCACAGGGCUGUGCAGAGAAGGGACAGGAAUUUAAAUGCAAACGCAAAGGCUCUGUCCUUGCAAAGGCUAGGGUACUGGGGAUGAACAGGAAGUUGAGAGUAGGAGGAAACAGUGGCUGCCCUCCUGAGUGCAGGGGCAAGGGCACAGUGCAGUGCAGGAGUGUGGCCGUGCAGCCAGCCCACCCCUUGAAUGCCUCCUUCUUUCCCCUUGUCCUUCCUCCACCAUCUCUGGGAAGUCUGGAGGGCUGGGCCAACCCCCACCACUGCCCUGCGCCCUCCAGGGAAGAAAAGUCCUGUUUUACCAGACUUCUCAGGUAACAAAGGUAGAACAUUGUCCUUUCUCAGCAUCCCCAGUUUCAAGCAUCUGGCAGCCUCUGCCCCCUUGGGUCACCUUCCUUAGGAGUAGAUCUGGAUGAAGAAGUAGAAGUUGAGGCCGUGCUCCAACACUGAGUGGCUUCGUGGGCGAGUCACUACUUCUCUAAGUUUACAUUUCCUUCAUAUAAUAACACCUGUCUCCCAA